Molecule: long non-coding RNA, 1139 nt
Organism: Heteronotia binoei (common prickly gecko)
Lineage: Eukaryota; Metazoa; Chordata; Lepidosauria; Squamata; Gekkonidae
Exons: 4
Source: RefSeq, a predicted model, not a curated record
GUCUUUGAGGUCAGGCUCUGGAAUCAUUAGUUAAAAGUCAAUACUGUACAGUGCAAGAUAAUUGUCAAGUACCUGAAAUAUUGACAUGAGGUGGUUGGGUUAUAUUAUUUUGUUUCUCCAAUGGACAUUCUGUGCUUCCCAAAAGGAGAUUCCAAGAUCCUGUGGUCCACCACCUGUUAUUGAUAAUUCAAUACAAAGGCAAUAUAUCCGGCAAGUAUUCCCAUCUGGUUCUGAUGUGUUUUAUCAGUGCUACAGGUUAUAUGAGAUGGAAGGAACACCACGUGCAAUGUGCUUAAAUGGUCAAUGGAGAGGAGUGCCUAGGUGUGUUGAGACCUGUAAAGCAGAGGAAACAGAGAUGGACCAAAACAAUAUAUAUCUAAAACAUAUUACUAAAUCAACGUCUCAUAUAACAUCUGACUACUGGAUGUAUUUUGAUUGUAAACCGGGAUAUCGCAAGGAUCCAUUAUCAUCUCCUUUUACAAAGCAAUGUGUACGAGGAGUGUGGGUGUAUCCAAGAUGCAUAUUAUGAACUGGAAUCUGAAUGAUAAGCUUGCGUUGAACAGAUGAAGUUUAGCAGUAAAUGGAGAUCAAAUCACUUGAUAUUUGCUUACUAGAGAUCUGAAGACAAGGAGAACUUGGAUAGCUCCCUCUCAUCAAUGUGUGCAAUUCAGUCUGUGUUCAGUUGUUUUUUGGCUUUGCUUCUGUCUUUUCUUCCUCUCCAGUUUUCCAGACUCCAAACUUUCUUGUGCAUCCAAAGAACACUCUCCUUAAAGGCCCUGGGCUUUGAUUUUCUCAGUCACCUUUCCAUUUGCCCUUCCCUUUUAAAUACUAAGCCUCCACCACCCACUUCUUUCUGUUUAACUCACUAGAAUCUCUUUCUCUGUUUGCCCAUCUUGAUUUUCAAUCAAUAUCCCACACACUUAAUGCUUUUCUUGUCCAGAAAGAUCCCUCCCUAUCCCAGAAGCUUUCCUAAUCCUCCUCCUUCAUCAGGCCUACUCCUUCUUCCUCAAGCCCUUAAAUCUGACAUCUAUCUCUUUGUCUGGGUUGGCAGUGCACUUCUGCCUCCUUUUUCUGGAAACGAAAUGUCAAAUUGUUGCUAUAAACACAUCUAAAAAUAAAGAUAUUUUAAAAUUAGAAAA